GGGGACUCGGCCGGCCUCGUUAGCACAGAAGAUCCUCAGUCAUAGUUAACAAAAUGGUAAAAUUAGCUGUGUUUUAAGAUUCCAGUCGUGGCCAUCAACUGCUCAGGAAAGCAGCCCAGAAUCACUUCACUACAGGUUUUCAAAGGAUCAUCAUUCAUCAGUACAGAAGGGUGGGGAAGAGAAGGCUGUUCAAAUUCUGAAAAGCCAGAGCUGCAAAGGAGGUCAAGAUGCAGUGCAGUUGGCCCACUCAGUAGAGUUUCACUAGUGGUCUGAUGUGGACUGGGGAUUACAUGCUGGAUUGAAGUGGUGGUCUGGAGCAGCUGUAAUUCAUCAUUCGUGCUGAUCGUGGACGAGUAUGAGCCCGCGUUGGCCCCGAUCGGCGAUCGCUGGCCAAAGCCCACCACCAGCACAGAAGAUCCUCAGUCAUAGUUAACAAAAUGGUAAAAUUAGCUGUGUUUUAAGAUUCCAGUCGUGGCCAUCAACUGCUCAGGAAAGCAGCCCAGAAUCACUUCACUACAGGUUUUCAAAGGAUCAUCAUUCAUCAGUACAGAAGGGUGGGGAAGAGAAGGCUGUUCAAAUUCUGAAAAGCCAGAGCUGCAAAGGAGGUCAAGAUGCAGUGCAGUUGGCCCACUCAGUAGAGUUUCACUAGUGGUCUGAUGUGGACUGGGGAUUACAUGCUGGAUUGAAGUGGUGGUCUGGAGCAGCUGUAAUUCAUCAUUCGUGCUGAUCGUGGACGAGUAUGAGCCCGCGUUGGCCCCGAUCGGCGAUCGCUGGCCAAAGCCCACCACCAGGUUGGUGAUAGGCGUUGGCUGUGAUAUCUUGGUGUCGCCUAUGUGUGAAAAGGACAAGUUGAUAACAAAACCUGUUGCGCCAUGUUAUUAACCCGCGCCCGGGUGGCCCUCAGCCAACUUGGUGGGGGGGGGGGGAGGGGAGGCGUAUUCGGCCACACCAGGUUAUCUUGGAAUGUAACAAAGUUGGAAAGACGCAGUAAAAUCAAUAUAUAGCUCGCUAUUUUCCUUCAGAAUCAUACAGGUCAUUUUCGAUCAGGUCAUUGCUGAGGUCACUGGAGGUCACCAAAAGUAAAAUGAUGACGAAUUUUGGCUUUAGAUUUUGACAACUUCACAAAUUGGUUCAUAACUCGGGAACCAAAGAAGCUACAGCGCCGCGGAAAAGCGAAUUCGAUAGCUCUUUCGAAAAUCUUUCAGGUUCUCAGAUUUGAGCUAAGGUCAACUAGGGUUAAGCCUCCAAAUGGCAAAAACUGAACAAUUGGCGUGCUUCGGAAAUCGUCUUAUCUUUUAAAACUUUUGAUACCAACCUUUUAUUACGUUGAUUUUACCGGCACUGCGUUUCUCUCGUCUUGUUGAACUAACAAGGUCAACUUAAUAAAUUUGACCUCAGGUCAAAGUCGCAGAAAAUGCCAUAUUGCAUGUCAGUCGAUUCGUUACAUUGAGAUUGUGAUUAACAUCAGUAGCGGCGGAACACCUUCAAUUAAGGGGGCAUUGCCGACUUUUGGUCCCAUUCUUCCCAUGCAACGCCCAUAGGGCUAAUCUUAAAAUGUCAAAAUCAAAGGGGGCACGGUAGCCCGGUGCCCUCCCCGUUCCGCCGCCUAUGAUAAUGAUGUUUUUAGCGCUCUGGCCACGUUCCAUCUAAAAUCAAUGCACAAAAAUAAACUGUUGGAGACGUUACAUGACCUGAGAUGACCUCAGGAGCAUACGAUAGAUCCCGACGUUUGAGUGUUUUUGUUUCAAAAGCAGAGCAUUUCGAGUUCCUCAUACUGACUGAAACUGGAGACGUUGCAAAGUUGACCUGACCCUUGGUCACCGAUAUCGAAAUUAAAGAUACUCAAGAUGUUGGUAGUUGGUACUGAUUCUCUCAUGCAAUAGCUCGA
Molecule: long non-coding RNA, 1888 nt
Organism: Amphibalanus amphitrite
Lineage: Eukaryota; Metazoa; Arthropoda; Thecostraca; Balanomorpha; Balanidae
Exons: 5
Source: RefSeq, a predicted model, not a curated record